CAAUAGCGUAUAUUAAAGUUGUUGCAGUUAAAAAGCUCGUAGUUGGAUUUCUGGUUGAAGCGACCGGUCGGGCGUUGAUUCGUCUGCACUGGAGUCGGUUUUGGCCAUCCUCUAGGAAAGUGCGUCUGGUAUUAAGUUAUCGGGCGUAUGAUCCUGGUCUUUUACUGUGAAAAAAUUAGAGUGUUUAAAGCAGGCCUUCGCCUUGAAUACAUUAGUAUGGAAUAAUAAGAUAGGACUUUGGUCUAUUUUGUUGGUUUGCAGACCGAAGUAAUGAUUAAUAGGGAUAGUUGGGGGUAUUUAUAUUCCGAUGUCAGAGGUGAAAUUCUUAGAUUUUCGGAAGAUAAACUUAUGCGAAAGCAUUUACCAAGGAUGUUUUCAUUA
RNAcentral lists this ribosomal RNA (381 nucleotides) under uncultured eukaryote. Its description in RNAcentral is "partial 18S ribosomal RNA". It matches the Rfam family "Eukaryotic small subunit ribosomal RNA", at positions 592 to 975 of the family's 1831-position model. The record is from RNAcentral.